CAGUCGCCGCGGUAAUACGUAGGUGGCAAGCGUUGUCCGGAAUUAUUGGGCGUAAAGGGCUCGCAGGCGGUUUCUUAAGUCUGAUGUGAAAGCCCCCGGCUCAACCAGGGAGGGUCAUUGGAAACUGGGAAACUUGAGUGCAGAAGAGGAGAGUGGAAUUCCACGUGUAGCGGUGAAAUGCGUAGAGAUGUGGAGGAACACCAGUGGCGAAGGCGACUCUCUGGUCUGUAACUGACGCUGAGGAGCGAAAGCGUGGGGAGCGAACAGGAUUAGAUACCCGUGUAGUCCCUGUCUCUUAUAC
RNAcentral lists this ribosomal RNA (301 nucleotides) under uncultured bacterium. RNAcentral's name for it is "partial 16S ribosomal RNA". It matches the Rfam family "Bacterial small subunit ribosomal RNA", at positions 509 to 807 of the family's 1533-position model. The record is from RNAcentral.